GAGGGUAUAGCUCAGUGGUAGCGUGUGUGCUUAGCAUGCAUGAGGUCAUGGGUUCAGUCCCUACUACGCUCA
Molecule: transfer RNA, 72 nt
Filed under: Camelus bactrianus (Bactrian camel)
Lineage: Eukaryota; Metazoa; Chordata; Mammalia; Artiodactyla; Camelidae
Also listed under: 2 other names
Rfam family: tRNA
About the family: Transfer RNA (tRNA) molecules are approximately 80 nucleotides in length. Their secondary structure includes four short double-helical elements and three loops (D, anti-codon, and T loops).
Source: Rfam by way of RNAcentral